RNAcentral lists this unclassified non-coding RNA (400 nucleotides) under soil metagenome. RNAcentral describes it as "partial contains 5.8S ribosomal RNA, internal transcribed spacer 2, and large subunit ribosomal RNA". The stretch from base 1 to 121 matches the Rfam family "5.8S ribosomal RNA", at positions 35 to 154 of the family's 154-position model. The record is from RNAcentral.
GAUGAAGAACGUAGCGAAAUGCGAUAAGUAAUGUGAAUUGCAGAAUUCAGUGAAUCAUCGAAUCUUUGAACGCACCUUGCGCCCUUUGGCUAUUCCGAAGGGCAUGCCUGUUUGAGUAUCAUGAACACCUCAACUCUCAUGGUUUGCCAUGAUGAGCUUGGACUCUGGGGGUCUUGCUGGCCUAUGGUCAGCUCCUCUCAAAUAAAUCAGCUUGCCAGUGUUUGGUGGCAUCACAGGUGUGAUAACUAUCUACGCUUGUGGUUUUCCAUCAGGUAACCUUCAGUGAUGGAGGUUCGCUGGAGCUCAUAAAUGUCCCUCCUCAGCGAGGACAGCUUUUUGAACGUUUGAUCUCAAAUCAGGUAGGACUACCCGCUGAACUUAAGCAUAUCAAUAAGCGGAG